GAUGGGAGCCAUACCACACUAAGUGCACUUGUUCUACUAUGAUCUAAGAAGCUAAGUAAGGUCAGGUCUGAUUUGUACUUGGAUGGAAGACUUUUAGCAUGGCUAUAAUUU
RNAcentral lists this ribosomal RNA (111 nucleotides) under Peromyscus maniculatus bairdii (prairie deer mouse). The record is from RNAcentral. Lineage: Eukaryota; Metazoa; Chordata; Mammalia; Rodentia; Cricetidae.